Molecule: non-coding RNA, 109 nt
Organism: Acanthosepion pharaonis
Lineage: Eukaryota; Metazoa; Mollusca; Cephalopoda; Sepiida; Sepiidae
Source: the annotation of a GenBank genome assembly
GCUAUGUGAUGUUAAAACACCGGUUCCCGUACGAUCACCAAAGUGAAGCAACGUCGAGCCUCGUUAGUAAAUAGAUAGGUGAUCGUUUGGAAAUACCAGGUGCUGUAAG